Molecule: small RNA, 775 nt
Filed under: Drosophila virilis
Lineage: Eukaryota; Metazoa; Arthropoda; Insecta; Diptera; Drosophilidae
Description: GJ26223
Source: RNAcentral
CUCCCUCUCUUCCAAAAUAUUUCUUAAAAAAAAUAACUCUUGAUUUAUUAUUGUGUCUUCAAUUUAUCUUAUCAAAAUGUCGUUUAAUUUCAAUGGAAUAAAUCUGAGAUUUUUACUUACAGCACUUAUUCAUUUUGCAGAAAAAUGCUGUUUGCUUUGAACUUGUUCUAUUCAUGGAAAUUUAUCUAUGGCCCACGCUCAAACAUGCAAACAUAACACACAAACACACGCAGUCAGCAUGAUAAAUGCGAGUUGCCUUAGCUUUGUUUGUCUGUGUUGAAAUGCCUAAAAAUGUUUGCGGUUGCUUUUGAGAACUGAACUGAAAACAUUUGCCAGUCAUGCUGUUUUCUUUAUACAUCUCAUGAAGGCGGCAUUUCCAUUUUAUUAUGGCAUGUGUAACGCGCUCGCGUGGGCUCGACAAAUGUCGAACUGCUGGAUUUUUAUUGGGAUUGAAGUCUACGAAAGUGUCUUAAAUUGUUUUUCGGUGUUAAAGAUUCUUCUGUAGGCUAAAAUAAAUGGAGAAAGAUUCUUUAAGAUUCUCUACGAACUGGUGCAAAUAUUUUGAAUGAAUUACUUGGAUUUCUUAUUGGAGCCCAGUAUUAUCGUUAUUCCCAAAAUAUAUAUGUUCGCUAGUGUAUUUAAUGUUUGGCUGUGCAAAAAUAGAUGUUUCUGCUGGAUUAAUACCAGGUUCCUUGCCUUGUUUAUCUAUUUUGGUGUUGCCACAGAAAUAUAUUACCGCAACGAGCAGAGGAAUGCUUAUGGAGCAUAGGCGUGG